AUUGAACGCUGGCGGCAGGCCUAACACAUGCAAGUCGAGCGAGCGGCGGACGGGUGAGUAAUGUCUGGGGAUCUGCCCGAUAGAGGGGGAUAACUACUGGAAACGGUGGCUAAUACCGCAUACUAUCGGAUCAGCCCAUAUGGGAUUAGCUAGUAGGUGGGGUAAAGGCUCACCUAGGCGACGAUCCCUAGCUGGUCUGAGAGGAGGAUAAGCCACACUGGAACUGAGACACGGUCCAGACUCCUACGGGAGGCAGCAGUGGGGAAUAUUGCACAAGGGGCGCAAGCCUGAUGCAGCCAUGCCGCGGGUAUGAAGAAGGCCUUAGGGUUGGAAAGUACUUUCAGCGGGGAGGCGUUACCCGCAGAAGAAGCACCGGCUAACUCCGUGCCAGCAGCCGCGGUAAUUC
This 406-nucleotide ribosomal RNA is filed under the name uncultured bacterium. RNAcentral's name for it is "partial 16S ribosomal RNA". It matches the Rfam family "Bacterial small subunit ribosomal RNA", at positions 30 to 526 of the family's 1533-position model. The record is from RNAcentral.